This 421-nucleotide ribosomal RNA is filed under the name uncultured bacterium. RNAcentral's name for it is "partial 16S ribosomal RNA". It matches the Rfam family "Bacterial small subunit ribosomal RNA", at positions 360 to 773 of the family's 1533-position model. The record is from RNAcentral.
AAUCUUCCGCAAUGGACGAAAGUCUGACGGAGCAACGCCGCGUGAGUGAAGAAGGUUUNCGGAUCNUNAAACUCUGUUGUCGGAGNCGAACAAGUGGGAGAGUAACUGUUCCCACCUUGACGGUACCCGACCAGAAAGCCACGGCUAACUACGUGCCAGCCGCCGCGGUAAUACGUAGGUGGCAAGCGUUGUCCGGAUUUAUUGGGCGUAAAGCGAGCGCAGGCGGUUCUUUAAGUGUGAUGUGAAAGCCCACGGCUUAACCGUGGAAGGUCAUUGGAAACUGGGGAACUUGAGUGCAGAAGAGGAGAGUGGAAUUCCAUGUGUAGCGGUGAGAUGCGUAGAUAUAUGGAGGAACACCAGUGGCGAAGGCGACUCUCUGGUCUGUAACUGACGCUGAGGCUCGAAAGCGUGGGGAGCAAAC